CGGGGCGUAGCGCAGCCUGGUAGCGCGCCUGCUUUGGGAGCAGGAUGUCGCAGGUUCGAAUCCUGCCGCCCCGACCA
This 77-nucleotide transfer RNA is filed under the name Desulfoluna butyratoxydans. RNAcentral describes it as "tRNA-Pro". It matches the Rfam family "tRNA". Rfam says of the family: Transfer RNA (tRNA) molecules are approximately 80 nucleotides in length. Their secondary structure includes four short double-helical elements and three loops (D, anti-codon, and T loops). The record is from RNAcentral. RNAcentral also lists the same sequence under 8 other names. Lineage: Bacteria; Pseudomonadati; Thermodesulfobacteriota; Desulfobacteria; Desulfobacterales; Desulfolunaceae.